This is a non-coding RNA of Podarcis lilfordi (Lilford's wall lizard), 70 nucleotides long. The record is from the annotation of a GenBank genome assembly. Lineage: Eukaryota; Metazoa; Chordata; Lepidosauria; Squamata; Lacertidae.
GGAUAGCUCAGUGGGCUAGAGUGUGGUGCUGACAACAGCAAGGUUGCAGGUUCAAUCCCCAUAAGAGACA